AACAUGUGUUUAAUUGCUAUUGGGCAGAGGAAAAGUUUCUCUCUCCCUCGACGAAGAACGACGAUUUCUUCUGGUGCUUCCACCGUUUCUCAACUUUCUUCUCAGAAGCCGCCGACGGAGUUGUGUCGCGACCUGCUCGGACCUCGUUUCAGGCUGUCUCUGACUGCCUUCGCCUGCUCCGCCGCUUCUUCCGUCGUUAAGCAAGACUCUCUUCACGAUCAGGUAAUCUGGCGGAAGCUUGGGGUUUGAUUAGAAAACAUUCGUUGAUCCAACUUUCAAUCAUCAGGAAAACGAUGGUGGAGAUGUUUCCUUUAAGAUCAGCAUAUGCUGCUUAUGGAAAGAUCAAAGCUAAGCUCUUUACUCUUGGUGAUCCUUUUACUCGGAUCAUUAGUCCAAGGGUAUCUGCAAGAGUAGGAAAGUUUCAGAAUUGGUAGUGAUUGAAAUCUACAAGGUAUUGGUCUUUUCAUAAACUCAGAACCAAGAACAUGUCACUUGGUUAGUGACAAACACAUCUUGGCCACAGGAGCUAGGCCAUAUUCUGGCAAAGUUGGUGUGGAAGAUGUCGAUAGAGUUGACAUGGCUUAUAGAGUGGUUGCGGAUCAUAUUAGGACGCUCUCAUGGCUCUUGUCCUGGUAUGUCUCGAAAUCCACUUAAUGACUGUGUGGUGAGUGUCUUUCAUGUAUGUAGCGAAUCACAAGGUUCCAAAACCAGCAGCUGAUGCAAAGCAUGAGGUGCAGAAGGAAGCUCUUUUCCUAGAGGUUUUUCUCUUGACUUUAAUUUUUUUUUUUUAAAACCUUGAUUAAGAAACUAGCAUUGGAGCACAAAAUCUAGAUGUCUCUUAAUUAAAGUUUUUAUCAACAUUUAAUUACUAUAAUAGUCACUAAGAGACCCAAAUGAGUUUGUGGGUUAAUGAUGCUCUAAGUAUAUCCGAUCCACAUGUUUUCUUUCAAAUAAAGGUGCCAUUUUAAGAAGUCGCUCCAAAUCGUGUUUCUUGCUAAUUUGGCGGUGCAAGUUUUGCUUCUUUCGUUUCCUCCUGUAACGAACAAACUUUAUUCUCCUUUUUGGUUUUGAACUUUUUGACUAGAGACAAGAGUGAGACUCGAACUAUUUCCGAAUUAUAUC
Molecule: RNA transcript, 1122 nt
Organism: Brassica oleracea var. oleracea
Lineage: Eukaryota; Viridiplantae; Streptophyta; Magnoliopsida; Brassicales; Brassicaceae
Gene name: alanine--tRNA ligase-like
Exons: 4
Source: RefSeq, a predicted model, not a curated record